AAAGCAUAUAUUGGGUUGUCGGUUUUCAUAAAAAAACAGUCUGGUUCAGCCAGUUCUAGCAGGUCUAAUUGCAUGGACUCUCUAUGAGGAAAUACGAUCCUGUGAGGGUGCUGGUUAGCUGCACCAAUGUGAUGGAGGCCCCAGCUGCAUAGCGCGCGACUCACGCCAGCAGCGAGCGCACUCUGGACCAUACAUCAGAUUCCACCACGAUGGCAAUGAGAAUGAUGACCCGGUGAAAUGACAAC
Molecule: microRNA precursor, 245 nt
Filed under: Oryza sativa (Asian cultivated rice)
Lineage: Eukaryota; Viridiplantae; Streptophyta; Magnoliopsida; Poales; Poaceae
Description: miR5507 stem-loop (osa-MIR5507)
Source: miRBase by way of RNAcentral